GCGGGCGUGGCGGAAUUGGUAGACGCGCAGGUUUUAGGUACCUGUGGAGUAAUCCGUGGGGGUUCGAUUCCCUCCGCCCGCACCA
This 85-nucleotide transfer RNA is filed under the name Rhodospirillaceae bacterium. RNAcentral's name for it is "tRNA-Leu". It matches the Rfam family "tRNA". From Rfam's summary of the family: Transfer RNA (tRNA) molecules are approximately 80 nucleotides in length. Their secondary structure includes four short double-helical elements and three loops (D, anti-codon, and T loops). The record is from RNAcentral. RNAcentral also lists the same sequence under 1 other name. Lineage: Bacteria; Pseudomonadati; Pseudomonadota; Alphaproteobacteria; Rhodospirillales; Rhodospirillaceae.